GGAAGAGUCGUCCUGUGGUGAGGGCACUAGUUUAGGACAUAAGAGACCAAGGUUCAAUUCCAUGCUCCACCA
This 72-nucleotide transfer RNA is filed under the name Chelonia mydas (Green sea turtle). It matches the Rfam family "tRNA". From Rfam's summary of the family: Transfer RNA (tRNA) molecules are approximately 80 nucleotides in length. Their secondary structure includes four short double-helical elements and three loops (D, anti-codon, and T loops). The record is from Rfam by way of RNAcentral. Lineage: Eukaryota; Metazoa; Chordata; Testudines; Cheloniidae.